This 374-nucleotide ribosomal RNA is filed under the name uncultured organism. Its description in RNAcentral is "bacterial SSU rRNA". It matches the Rfam family "Bacterial small subunit ribosomal RNA", at positions 526 to 896 of the family's 1533-position model. The record is from RNAcentral.
CGUAGGGUGCGAGCGUUGUCCGGAAUUAUUGGGCGUAAAGAGCUCGUAGGCGGUGUGUCGCGUCGGUCGUGAAAACUUUCAGCUUAACUGGGAGCUUGCGGUCGAUACGGGCAUCACUGGAGUUCGGCAGGGGAGACUGGAAUUCCUGGUGUAGCGGUGAAAUGCGCAGAUAUCAGGAGGAACACCGGUGGCGAAGGCGGGUCUCUGGGCCGAUACUGACGCUGAGGAGCGAAAGCGUGGGGAGCGAACAGGAUUAGAUACCCUGGUAGUCCACGCCGUAAACGGUGGGCGCUAGGUGUGGGGGCCAUUCCACGGUCUCUGUGCCGCAGCUAACGCAUUAAGCGCCCCGCCUGGGGAGUACGGCCGCAAGGCUA